CUGAUGGAGGAUGGAAGGUCAUUACCUGCCAGUGGGGAUGAAAGUUCUAAUUUAGAGCCCAGAAGAGCUUUAGGAAUGUCUCAGAAUUAAUUUUUCUAUUUAUCCAGAGUGAAAGGAGACAAUUAAGGUUAAGAAAAAUAAAAUGUAAAUGAACAGAUUUUUCUUUUGUCCUAAGCAAUAUUCUAACCAGUUUCCUAAUAACCGAAGGCUUAUAAAGGCAAAUUUAGCAUUAAAAUAUUUUAUAUUUCUUUCACAUGUAAAGAAGAAAAGAUGAUCUGAAGCUGCAUAUUUAACUUUCAAUUAUAAGAUAAUGUUUAAAUUAAAAUACAAAUGGCUAAUCAUCAAAACAUGUCAAACUUGAAAAUUAGAUAUUGAAAUUAACAUGAUGUAUUAUCAUUACUGGUUUAUAUGCCUUUCUUCUCCUAUUAACCUGGGAAUUCCAUCAAAGGAAGAUUAAUCUUGUAUUCCUGUCACCAAAAACACUGUCUGACACAUAAAUACUUAAGAAAUGCUUGCUAAAUUGCUUUUUAAAAUUGUCUCCUAAUUUG
Molecule: long non-coding RNA, 548 nt
Filed under: Pan troglodytes (chimpanzee)
Lineage: Eukaryota; Metazoa; Chordata; Mammalia; Primates; Hominidae
Description: long non-coding RNA NONPTRT007733
Source: RNAcentral